RNAcentral lists this long non-coding RNA (1017 nucleotides) under Equus asinus (donkey). RNAcentral describes it as "lncRNA (ENSEASG00005028264.1)". Lineage: Eukaryota; Metazoa; Chordata; Mammalia; Perissodactyla; Equidae. The record is from RNAcentral.
CAGGUGAGGAAACGGCUGAGACUCAGAGAGAAGCGCCUUGCCCAAAGCUACACAGCUGAAUAGUGGUGGAGCGGGAGAAGAACCCACACCCCUGAACCCAAAUCCAGUGCUCUUUUCAUUCACACGCUCUUUGUCACCUCUUCUGACGUCAAACCUUCUUUCCACAGAAAUGAAACAUCUCUUCCGUCCAAGCAAAGGAAAAGCAGGCAGCAAAAGUUAUGGAGUAUGGCCUGAGAGCGCUCUUCCAAGCCGGCAAAUCCAGGUUGUUUGAGCCAUUGGAAAUCGCUCUCCCAUCAAACUUGAAGCCUGAGGGGAACUGAGACCACUCCCCCGUUAAAGAGUGCAUUCCAGCUAGUGACCAGAUGGCUCCGUUGUUCAAUCAAACUUUUACCUUGAGAAUCUAUGAUCAAGUUCUUGCUUGGGUAGAAACUCCAUGGUGGCAGGGAUCUUGUCUUUCUUGUCGUUACUUUACCUCCAAAGUGUAGCACAUAGUAGGCUCUCCAUAAAUGUUCAUUGAGAGAAUGAAGGAAGGAAAGAUGGAAGGACGGGGGGGCGGCACCUCCCUGUCCAAAGGCAAUUGCACAGUUCUAUGGUAUUGCCCUUCAGCCACCUGUAUGGGAUUUUGACAAGUUCAACAUGAACAGCUUGCCUGCUAAGCUGGGUGCCUGGUGGGGAGGGCCCCUGGAUUCCUACCAUAAACACGCGAUUCCUCUGUGCCCCUUCGUUGAAGCCUCCUAGAGAAAAAUCAGAAAGGUCGGGCCCAAAGGGUUUACAUGCUUCCCUCCCAGUGUCCAAAACAACCACCCCCAGGAAGGGCUGGAGGCAGGAAACCCUGGCUGUUGAAGAGUUGAAUUACACGGGCCUUUUUCUUCAGUGUGUGAACCUAUGUUGAGGACUAAAUAAAAUGUGGCACUAGAAGAAAAAAUUCUGAACAUGACACAUUUUAUAGAUUUGAAGAAUUAUCAAACAGGAAGAGAGAGAAAACUUAAUUUGGCCAGCUGAGUCAAAGUAAAAUGA